GGAGGAAAGUAGGGGAUCGCAAGACCUUGCGCUAAAGGAGCGGCCGAUGUCUGAUUAGCUAGUUGGUGGGGUAAAGGCUUACCAAGGCAACGAUCAGUAGUUGGUCUGAGAGGACGGCCAACCACACUGGGACUGAGACACGGCCCAGACUCUACGGGAGGCAGCAGUGGGGAAUUUUGGACAAUGGGCGAAAGCCUGAUCCAGCCAUGCCGCGUGAGUGAAGAAGGCUUCGGGUUGUAAAGCUCUUUUAGUCGGAAAGAAAGAGUUGCAAUGAAUAAUUGUGAUUUAUGACGGUACCGACAGAAAAAGCACCGGCUAACUACGUGCCAGCAGCCGCGGUAAUACGUAGGGUGCGAGCGUUAAUCGGAAUUACUGGGCGUAAAGGGUGCGCAGGCGGUCUUGCAAGUCAGAUGUGAAAGCCCCGGGCUUAACCUGGGAAUUGCGUUUGAAACUACAAAGCUAG
Molecule: ribosomal RNA, 463 nt
Filed under: uncultured bacterium
Lineage: Bacteria
Description: bacterial SSU rRNA
Rfam family: Bacterial small subunit ribosomal RNA
Source: RNAcentral